This 2542-nucleotide small RNA is filed under the name Pongo abelii (Sumatran orangutan). Its description in RNAcentral is "processed transcript". Lineage: Eukaryota; Metazoa; Chordata; Mammalia; Primates; Hominidae. The record is from RNAcentral.
GCUGCUGAGACGAUGAUGCUACCCCUGGCAGCAGAAGGCGCUACCACCUAUGAGUGCUUGCUGUGUGCCAGGCACUGUUCAACGCUUCUGAAUGUUAACUCUUCCAGUCCAUACAACUUAAUGAAGUAGGCUCUGUUCCUGCUUUUCAGAUGAGGAAACUGAGGCACAGAGCUGGGGAGUAGGUUGCCCAAGGUCUCACAGCUAGUAGCUGGGGUUUGAAGCUAUCCUGUGCAGUACUGCCUGUCCUCUGGUCCCCUCCUGUAUGACCUGCCUCUGCAGCCACACGUGGGGCAGAGGGAAGACAUGCAGGCUGGGUGCAUCCUCCGGAGGCUCCUGGGCUAGCAGGAAGGGAGGAAGGAGCAGGGUGUCAUGUGAUACCAUCUGGUGGGCAAGUGGCCUGACCAGGCAGAAGGGAGACAGGCAGGGGGCUCAUCACCACCAUUAUCCCUAGUGGCAUGUUUAGUUAUGGGCACUUUACAGGCUGCGUACUCGGAAUCCUCACAACACCGGGGGUCAGUGAGGAGGGAGGUGAGGCUCCCUGCUUGGGGCUGCCUGCUGUGAAGGCAGCUUCUUGGGAGGCGGGAUCUGGGCCAGGCUGGGUGUGGGGAGCUGGGUCCUUGGCCAUCCCCACCAAGAGGGGGUGAGUGGCAGCUGUGGGGUGGGUCACCCCCAUCCUGCAGGAGCUGGCUUGGAGAUGCCCUCUCCUUGCCUCUUCAUCUGUGCAGUGGGGAAGAGUGUCUGCAUCAUGGGGCUACUUUGGGGGUUAGCGAGUAAGGCGUGUGGGGUUCCUAGAACUCCGCCUCCUGUACAGCAGGUGCUCAGUCAGUGGCAGCCGCUGUUCCAGGAUAUUCCAGAGAAAGCACGUCUCAGUGUGGCUUUUUGCUUUUUCUUCUGUCCCUGCAAGUUCACAUACUGUGCUAGCUCUGGGUGGACCCCACUCUGAGGAUUCCCAUUCUGCUCUUGUUCCACAUUCUUAGUUCUUUUCUAUGGUUCAGGCUCCAGGGCGAGGGCACCUCCGCUGAGAAGCCCUCCAGACUUUCCCCUGAGCCUGGGGUCCCUGCAGGGCCAGAUGUCUGUCCCGUGGUGGGGUCCAGCCUUGGCCAUCUGGCGUUUGCUUUCAGGGCCCAGAGCAUUCAUCAGCGAGGCCCGAGAGGUUCCUGCAGAUGAGCAAUGACGACUCGGAUGCCUACCCUGUGAGUGUUGCUGCUGUCCCCAGGAGAGGGACGCACCCUAUUGUGCCCACAGGGCUAGGGGUCCAGGGUGUGGGUGCAGCAGACAGCCACCCUGGCCGUAUGUAUCUCGUCCCCACAGGCAUUCACCAAGGACUUCGAGGUGAGCCAGCUCUAUGACUGCAACUGGAUUGUGGUCAACUGCUCCACACCGGCCAACUACUUCCACGUGCUGCGCCGGCAGAUCCUGCUGCCCUUCCGCAAGCCGCUGAUUAUCUUCACACCUAAAUCUCUGCUGAGGCACCCAGAGGCCAAGUCCAGCUUUGACCAAAUGGUAUCCGGGACCAGCUUCCAGCGGGUGAUUCCUGAAGAUGGGGCCGCAGCACGGGCCCCUGAGCAGGUGCGGCGGCUCAUCUUCUGCACGGGAAAGGUGUAUUAUGACCUGGUGAAGGAGCGGAGCAGCCAGGGCCUGGAGGAGAAAGUGGCCAUCACGCGCCUGGAGCAGAUCUCUCCAUUCCCCUUCGACCUGAUCAAGCAGGAGGCAGAGAAGUACCCAGGUGCAGAGCUGGCCUGGUGUCAGGAGGAGCACAAGAACAUGGGCUACUAUGACUACAUCAGCCCACGCUUCAUGACCAUCCUGAGGCGCGCGCGGCCCAUAUGGUAUGUUGGCCGGGACCCAGCGGCUGCACCAGCCACAGGAAACAGGAACACUCACCUAGUGUCACUGAAGAAGUUUCUGGAUACUGCCUUCAAUCUCCAGGCCUUUGAGGGCAAGACGUUUUAGAGCUGGGCAAGACCUGUGUAGGUCUCGCUGUGGGUCGGCUGGGGACCAAGGGGGUGAUGAAAAGGGGAGGGGCAGAGCUCCUGCCCAGGAGAGGGGCUGCGGGGCCCCAGGAUAAAACAGACUCACACAAUGACAGGGCCAAAGAGCCCCAGCACUGCUAGCCUUGGUGUCAUGCCAGAAUCUACCAGGACUGAGGGAGCCAGAGGAGUCCUAUAGGCAGGCUACUGUGCUGGAGCAUCCCCCAGCUGCUCCCAUCUUGCUGGAAUUUCUUGGGCGGCUUUUCCACCUGUGUCUCAAGACAGACACCCAGGGGCCUGUGUCUGUGGCCGCUCCCAUCCUGGCAGCCCUGGCUGCCGCUCGCCCCACCCUCGCUCAUCUGUAGAUUCAAAGCGAUGUUCUCUUCUGUGCUCUUAGAAGUAGGUAGUUCAGCAGUAACAGCCAGGUGAAGCGAACCUGCUGGGUGAUGUGUUUGCGCUCUGUUUUAUGGGGCAUUCCUGCGAGAUGUGUCAGCUUCUGUGUGAAAUGCAGCCACAGCUCAUGUGUACCAAAGUAGAAAACCAAAUCACAGAGAAAUAAAAACAUGCUUCAG